GAUGAACGCUGGCGGCGUUCCUAAUACAUGCAAGUCGAGCGAACGGACGAGAAGCUUGCUUCUCUGAUGUUAGCGGCGGACGGGUGAGUAACACGUGGAUAACCUACCUAUAAGACUGGGAUAACUUCGGGAAACCGGAGCUAAUACCGGAUAAUAUUUUGAACCGCAUGGUUCAAAAGUGAAAGACGGUCUUGCUGUCACUUAUAGAUGGAUCCGCGCUGCAUUAGCUAGUUGGUAAGGUAACGGCUUACCAAGGCAACGAUGCAUAGCCGACCUGAGAGGGUGAUCGGCCACACUGGAACUGAGACACGGUCCAGACUCCUACGGGAGGCAGCAGUAGGGAAUCUUCCGCAAUGGGCGAAAGCCUGACGGAGCAACGCCGCGUGAGUGAUGAAGGUCUUCGGAUCGUAAAACUCUGUUAUUAGGGAAGAACAUAUGUGUAAGUAACUGUGCACAUCUUGACGGUACCUAAUCAGAAAGCCACGGCUAACUACGUG
This 497-nucleotide ribosomal RNA is filed under the name uncultured bacterium. RNAcentral describes it as "partial 16S ribosomal RNA". It matches the Rfam family "Bacterial small subunit ribosomal RNA", at positions 28 to 507 of the family's 1533-position model. The record is from RNAcentral.